This 252-nucleotide ribosomal RNA is filed under the name uncultured bacterium. RNAcentral's name for it is "partial 16S ribosomal RNA". It matches the Rfam family "Bacterial small subunit ribosomal RNA", at positions 524 to 776 of the family's 1533-position model. The record is from RNAcentral.
UACGGAGGGUGCAAGCGUUAUCCGGAUUUACUGGGUUAAAGGGUGUGUAGGCGGACUUUUAAGUCCGUGGUGAAAUCUCCGGGCUCAACCCGGAAACUGCCAUGGAUACUAUUUGUCUUGAAUAUUGUUGAGGUGGGCGGAACGGGUCAUGUAGCGGUGAAAUGCAUAGAUAUGACCCGGAACACCGAUUGCGAAGGCAGCCCACUAAGCAAUGAUUGACGCUGAGGCACGAAAGCGUGGGGAUCAAACAGG